RNAcentral lists this ribosomal RNA (253 nucleotides) under uncultured bacterium. Its description in RNAcentral is "partial 16S ribosomal RNA". It matches the Rfam family "Bacterial small subunit ribosomal RNA", at positions 524 to 776 of the family's 1533-position model. The record is from RNAcentral.
UACGUAGGGUGCGAGCGUUAAUCGGAAUUACUGGGCGUAAAGCGUGCGCAGGCGGUUCGCCAAGUCAGGUGUGAAAUCCCCGGGCUUAACCUGGGAAUUGCGCUUGAAACUAGCGGGCUUGAGUGUGGCAGAGGGGGGUGGAAUUCCACGUGUAGCAGUGAAAUGCGUAGAGAUGUGGAGGAACACCGAUGGCGAAGGCAGCCCCCUGGGUUAACACUGACGCUCAGGCACGAAAGCGUGGGGAGCAAACAGG